CAGACUUUGGGACUUGAAUGAAGUCACAAAACAAGGCAAAUGUGGAAGACAAAGAUAGCUCAUAAACUAGCACUUUAUUUAUUUAAGGUGAGAAAGCCCAAAUUUAAGAGGUUCAAUCUACCACUUGUCCAGAACUACACAAUUAUGAGCCAACAAAUUCAUUUGUUUGGGCAGCAUGCAAGGAAAUGAAAAUGAAGGCUCUGGAGCCAGGCCACUUGGGUUUACUAUUUCUUAUUUGUAUGAUCUUGAGAAAAUUAUUUAAACUCUGAGCUUCAGUGUCCUUGAUUUGAAACAGGGGUAAUAAUGGUUCUUUCAGAUGUAUCAUAAAGAUAAAAUGAGAUAAUGAGUGAAAAGCUUAAAAUACUCUAUUUUGGAAGAAUGAACCCUCAAGGAGGUUAUAUUCCAGUGGAAAAGCCAAAUAAUAAACUUGUAAAAAUACAAAUAAGUAAUUCUAAACACUAGAAAUCCUAUAAAGAAAUAGAAUAAGGAAAUGGGUUGGAAGAGUAGAGAUGGCGAGGUCUAAAAGGAUUCUUUCAAAGGGAUGGCAUUUGAGCUAUGAAUGACCAAUGGAGCCAGUCACACUGAACUGGAGAAUGAGUGCUCCAGGCAGAGGCAAGAGUAGGUGCAAAGGCACAGGGACGAGAAUCUGUUUUUCUUAUCCUAGAAACUGAAGGAAAGCCAGCAAUGGAGUGGAGUGAGGGCAAAGAAUUGGAGGUAGGGAAUGGAAGCAGGGCAGGUAGUAGAGUGGGAGGGGAUGGCAUUAGAGAGGUCAGUAGCAGUUGAUUACCACCAAUCUUGUAAGGUAUGAUGAGAAGCAUACAUUUUAUUUCAGAGGUAGUGGAAAGCCAUUGAAGCAUUUCAGGCAGGGGAGUGAUUGAUUGGAUUUAUUUUUUAACAGAUCAGUCUAGCUGCUAUAUCCAGAAUGGAUUGUGGCAAGCAAGAGUGGAAGCAUGGAGCCCAGUGAUGGAGCCACAGUGUAGAUCAUGUGGCUUGAACUAGGGAGGUGACCAGAGAGAUGAAGAGUAGUGGGUGGGUUCAGAGUAUCUGGGGCUUAAUGACAGAUAAUAUAUAUGGAGGAAAGGGCAGUGUGUUAGCAUCAGGGUGGAUGGCAGUGCAAUCUGCCUCAGUAGAGUAGAAGCAUGCUUGGAGUUUUAAAAGUUCUGUUUUUAAAAAACAAUUUAUUUAAAAUAAAAAGUUCUGUUUUGUUAUGUAGGAUGGGUUACAACAGGCAACAAGGAAACUUUUGGGGAUUAUGUACAGAUUCAUUAUCUUAAUUGUGAUAUUGGUUUCACAUGUGUAUACGUAGGCUGAAAUUCAAUACCUUACAUGCUUUAAAUAUGUGCUGAGUCCAUUAUAUGUCAAUAAAUCUGCAUUUUAAAAAGCUGUGAAAGAGAAUCAUGAUAUGCCAGCCCAAAAUAUGCUGCUU
RNAcentral lists this long non-coding RNA (1426 nucleotides) under Canis lupus familiaris (dog). RNAcentral's name for it is "lncRNA (ENSCAFG00000055190.1, ENSCAFG00805027792.1)". The record is from RNAcentral. Lineage: Eukaryota; Metazoa; Chordata; Mammalia; Carnivora; Canidae.